GACGAACGCUGGCGGCGUGCCUAACACAUGCAAGUCGAACGGAAAGGCCCUGCUUUUGUGGGGUGCUCGAGUGGCGAACGGGUGAGUAACACGUGAGUAACCUGCCCUUGACUUUGGGAUAACUUCAGGAAACUGGGGCUAAUACCGGAUAGGAGCUCCUGCUGCAUGGUGGGGGUUGGAAAGUUUCGGCGGUUGGGGAUGGACUCGCGGCUUAUCAGCUUGUUGGUGGGGUAGUGGCUUACCAAGGCUUUGACGGGUAGCCGGCCUGAGAGGGUGACCGGCCACAUUGGGACUGAGAUACGGCCCAGACUCCUACGGGAGGCAGCAGUGGGGAAUAUUGCACAAUGGGCGGAAGCCUGAUGCAGCAACGCCGCGUGCGGGAUGACGGCCUUCGGGUUGUAAACCGCUUUCGCCUGUGACGAAGCGUGAGUGGCGGUAAUGGGUAAAGAAGCACCGGCUAACUACGUG
RNAcentral lists this ribosomal RNA (468 nucleotides) under uncultured bacterium. RNAcentral's name for it is "partial 16S ribosomal RNA". It matches the Rfam family "Bacterial small subunit ribosomal RNA", at positions 28 to 507 of the family's 1533-position model. The record is from RNAcentral.